Molecule: ribosomal RNA, 253 nt
Filed under: uncultured bacterium
Lineage: Bacteria
Description: partial 16S ribosomal RNA
Rfam family: Bacterial small subunit ribosomal RNA
Source: RNAcentral
UACGGAGGGUGCAAGCGUUAUCCGGAUUCACUGGGUUUAAAGGGCGCGUAGGUGGGUCUGUAAGUCCGUGGUGAAAUCUCCGAGCUUAACUUGGAAACUGCCAUGGAUACUAUAGGUCUUGAAUACUGUGGAGGUCAGCGGAAUAUGUCAUGUAGCGGUGAAAUGCUUAGAUAUGACAUAGAACACCAAUUGCGAAGGCAGCUGGCUACACAAAUAUUGACACUGAGGCACGAAAGCGUGGGGAUCAAACAGG